UUGUCUCUCUUGAGUGGAUCCUGAGUACGACGGAGCACGUGAAAUUCCGUCGGAAUCUGGGAGGACCAUCUCCUAAGGCUAAAUACUCUCUAGUGACCGAUAGUGAACCAGUACCGUGAGGGAAAGGUGAAAAGCACCCCGGAAGGGGAGUGAAAUAGAACCUGAAACCGUGUGCUUACAAGUAGUCAGAGCCCGUUAAUGGGUGAUGGCGUGCCUUUUGUAGAAUGAACCGGCGAGUUACGAUUUGAUGCAAGGUUAAGCAGUAAAUGUGGAGCCGUAGCGAAAGCGAGUCUGAAUAGGGCGUUUAGUAUUUGGUCGUAGACCCGAAACCAGGUGAUCUACCCUUGGUCAGGUUGAAGUUCAGGUAACACUGAAUGGAGGACCGAACCGACUUACGUUGAAAAGUGAGCGGAUGAACUGAGGGUAGCGGAGAAAUUCCAAUCGAACCUGGAGAUAGCUGGUUCUCUCCGAAAUAGCUUUAGGGCUAGCCUCAAGUGAUGAUUAUUGGAGGUAGAGCACUGUUUGGACGAGGGGCCCCUCUCGGGUUACCGAAUUCAGACAAACUCCGAAUGCCAAUUAAUUUAACUUGGGAGUCAGAACAUGGGUGAUAAGGUCCGUGUUCGAAAGGGAAACAGCCCAGACCACCAGCUAAGGUCCCAAAAUAUAUGUUAAGUGGAAAAGGAUGUGGCGUUGCCCAGACAACUAGGAUGUUGGCUUAGAAGCAGCCAUCAUUUAAAGAGUGCGUAAUAGCUCACUAGUCGAGUGACACUGCGCCGAAAAUGUACCGGGGCUAAACAUAUUACCGAAGCUGUGGAUUGUCCUUUGGACAAUGGUAGGAGAGCGUUCUAAGGGCGUUGAAGCAUGAUCGUAAGGACAUGUGGAGCGCUUAGAAGUGAGAAUGCCGGUGUGAGUAGCGAAAGACGGGUGAGAAUCCCGUCCACCGAUUGACUAAGGUUUCCAGAGGAAGGCUCGUCCGCUCUGGGUUAGUCGGGUCCUAAGCUGAGGCCGACAGGCGUAGGCGAUGGAUAACAGGUUGAUAUUCCUGUACCACCUAUA
Molecule: ribosomal RNA, 1056 nt
Filed under: Staphylococcus aureus
Lineage: Bacteria; Bacillati; Bacillota; Bacilli; Caryophanales; Staphylococcaceae
Description: partial 23S ribosomal RNA
Rfam family: Bacterial large subunit ribosomal RNA
Source: RNAcentral